This 270-nucleotide unclassified non-coding RNA is filed under the name soil metagenome. RNAcentral describes it as "partial contains 5.8S ribosomal RNA and internal transcribed spacer 2". The stretch from base 1 to 120 matches the Rfam family "5.8S ribosomal RNA", at positions 35 to 154 of the family's 154-position model. The record is from RNAcentral.
GAUGAAGAACGUAGUGAAAUGCGAUACGUAAUGUGAAUUGCAGAAUUCAGUGAAUCAUCGAAUCUUUGAACGCAUAUUGCGCUCUCUGGUAUUCCGGAGAGCAUGCUUGUUUGAGUAUCAGUAAACACCUCAACUUCCAUAUCUUUUUUGAAAUGGGAGUUGGACUUGAGUGAUCCCAACGCUUUUCCUCACCGAAAAGUGGCGGGUUACUUGAAAUGCAGGUGCAGCUGGACUUUUCUCUGAGCUAUAAGCAUAUCAAUAAGCGGAGGA